AGGCAAAUUUCCUCUCUACUCUAAAUGUUAUACCAUGUGCCAAUGUCUUAAAAAUCAGACGGGGGCAGUCAUUGAAUCGGUGAAAGAUCUAUUCUCAACUACAUGUAAACGUUUCCGUAGGAUUUAGCUGUUGAAUCGAGAUUUAGGCUUAUUGUGUUACGUUCAGUAUCUGAGAAUUUGAUUGAAUGCAUGAUUUUAGUAGGCUCUGGCUUAAAGAGUGUGGAGAUUUUUUGUUAUUUAAUUAUCUAUUAUAUUUAGGAUUGGGAUUUGGAUGUGAUGACUAUUAGUUCUAAAAUGACAGUGUAUUAGGCAUUUUUAAGUAGAAUGACAAUUUCAACUUGAUAUGCAUUAUUUUGUGUAUUUUAUAUUUGUUGUUAGUUCGUUACUUAAGAUGAGUACUUUUUGCAAUUUUGUAAUUUUGAAAAUAUUGACAUGAUUCUGGAACUUGGAUAGAAAUGCCAACAAGUUCUUCAUAUUAAGCAAUCAAGUAGUUUUUCCGCAAACUGGCGUGAUCAUCCCUUUUGAAUUACUUUGAGUGGUGUUCUUUCAUAUAUAUGUCCAUCGUUUAUUGAAAUUGUUGAUCAUUUUGGAUUUUAUAUACGGCAAUUUCAGUUUGGUUUCAUAUUUAAGGUUUUGAUUGGUUUUCUUCUGUUCUAUUAACCGAUUGGUGCUUAUGGAAAAACCACUUGAAAGUUUGUUUUGAAAGAUUAAUUAAUCAUUCUUUUUGUUUGAGGUUGAUCUUGGAUAGAAUCAACUCUUGUGCAGCAGACUAUGUAAUGUAUA
This 783-nucleotide long non-coding RNA is filed under the name Trifolium pratense (red clover). Its description in RNAcentral is "long non-coding RNA (TPRA_LNC009014)". The record is from RNAcentral. Lineage: Eukaryota; Viridiplantae; Streptophyta; Magnoliopsida; Fabales; Fabaceae.